GACGAACGCUGGCGGCGUGCUUAACACAGAAUGAAGAAACGAGUGGCGAACGGGUGAGUAACGCGUAAUCAACCUGCCCUUCAGAGGGGGACAACAGUUGGAAACGAAUGCUAAUACCUAAUACUGUGAGCGAGCUUUGCGUCCCAUUAGCUAGUGGGAGAGGUAACUGCUCAGCAAGGCGAUGAUGGGUAGCCGGCCUGAGAGGGAGAUAGGCCACAAGGGGACUGGGACACGGCCCUGACGCCUACGGGAGGCAGCAGGGAGGAAUAUUGGACAAAGGACCAAAGUCGGAUCCAGCAAUGCGGUGUGCAAGAUGAAGGUUUCGGAAUGUAAAGUGCUUUCAGUUGGGAAGCGGUACCAACAGAAGAAGCGACGGCUAAAUACGUGCCAGCAGCCGCGGUAAUAC
RNAcentral lists this ribosomal RNA (406 nucleotides) under uncultured bacterium. RNAcentral describes it as "partial 16S ribosomal RNA". It matches the Rfam family "Bacterial small subunit ribosomal RNA", at positions 28 to 526 of the family's 1533-position model. The record is from RNAcentral.